This 384-nucleotide ribosomal RNA is filed under the name unidentified activated sludge bacterium AI049. RNAcentral's name for it is "bacterial SSU rRNA". The stretch from base 56 to 384 matches the Rfam family "Bacterial small subunit ribosomal RNA", at positions 929 to 1318 of the family's 1533-position model. The record is from RNAcentral. RNAcentral also lists the same sequence under 1 other name.
ACCGGUCGCAGAGAUGUGACCUUCUCUUCGGAGCCUGGAGCACAGGUGCUGCAUGGCUGUGAGCAUGUGGUUUAAUUCGACGCAACGCGCAGAACCUUACCAGCCCUUGACAUGUCCAGGCGUCAGCUCGUGUCGUGAGAUGUUGGGUUAAGUCCCGCAACGAGCGCAACCCCCGUCCUUAGUUGCUACCAUUUAGUUGAGCACUCUAAGGAGACUGCCGGUGAUAAGCCGCGAGGAAGGUGGGGAUGACGUCAAGUCCUCAUGGCCCUUACGGGCUGGGCUACACACGUGCUACAAUGGCGGUGACAAUGGGAUGCAAAGGCGCGAGCCCUAGCAAAUCUCAAAAAGCCGUCUCAGUUCGGAUUGGGCUCUGCAACUCGAGCC